UACGGAGGGCGCGAGCGUUAAUCGGAAUCACUGGGCGUAAAGCGCACGUAGGCGGCUUGAUAAGUCGGGCGUGAAAGCCCUCGGCCCAACCGAGGAAUUGCGUUCGAUACUGUUUGGCUUGAGUCCUGGAGAGGGUGGCGGAAUUCCGGGUGUAGGAGUGAAAUCCGUAGAUAUCCGGAGGAACACCGGUGGCGAAGGCGGCCACCUGGACAGGUACUGACGCUGAGGUGCGAAAGCGUGGGGAGCAAACAGG
This 253-nucleotide ribosomal RNA is filed under the name uncultured bacterium. RNAcentral describes it as "partial 16S ribosomal RNA". It matches the Rfam family "Bacterial small subunit ribosomal RNA", at positions 524 to 776 of the family's 1533-position model. The record is from RNAcentral.